Molecule: ribosomal RNA, 405 nt
Filed under: uncultured bacterium
Lineage: Bacteria
Description: partial 16S ribosomal RNA
Rfam family: Bacterial small subunit ribosomal RNA
Source: RNAcentral
GAUGAACGCUGGCGGCAUGCCUAAUACAUGCAAGUCGAGCGAAGCGGGGACGGGUGAGUAACACGUAGAUACCCUCCUAUAAGACUGGGAUAACUUCGGGAAACCGGAGCUAAUCCGGAUACUUCUAGCUGGAUCAUCGCUGCAUUAGCUAGUUGGUAAGGUAACGGCUGACCAAGGCAACGAUGCAUAGCCGAUCUGAGCGGGGGGUCAGCCACACCGGAACUGAGACACGGUCCAGACUCCUACGGGAGGCAGCAGUAGGGAAUCUUGCGCAAUGGGCGCAAGCCUGACGUAGCAACGCCGCGUGAUGGAUGAAGGUCUUCGGAUCGUAAAACUCUGUUAUUAGGGAAGCGGUACCUAAUCAGAAAGCAACGGCUAACUACGUGCCAGCAGCCGCGGUAAUAC